This 460-nucleotide ribosomal RNA is filed under the name uncultured bacterium. RNAcentral's name for it is "partial 16S ribosomal RNA". It matches the Rfam family "Bacterial small subunit ribosomal RNA", at positions 338 to 795 of the family's 1533-position model. The record is from RNAcentral.
CCUACGGGGGGCAGCAGUGAGGAAUAUUGGUCAAUGGACGAGAGUCUGAACCAGCCAAGUAGCGUGAAGGAUGACUGCCCUAUGGGUUGUAAACUUCUUUUAUAUGGGAAUAAAAUGUUCCACGUGUGGGAUUUUGUAUGUACCAUAUGAAUAAGAAUCGGCUAACUCCGUGCCAGCAGCCGCGGUAAUACGGAGGAUCCGAGCGUUAUCCGGAUUUAUUGGGUUUAAAGGGAGCGUAGGUGGAUUGUUAAGUCAGUUGUGAAAGUUUGCGGCUCAACCGUAAAAUGGCAGUUGAAACUGGCAGUCUAGAGUACAGUAGAGGGGGGCGGAAUUCGUGGUGUAGCGGUGAAAUGCUUAGAUAUCACGAAGAACUCCGAUUGCGAAGGCAGCUCACUGGACUGCAACUGACACUGAGGCUCGAAAGUGUGGGUAUCAAACAGGAUUAGAUACCCUUGUAGUC